This 264-nucleotide ribosomal RNA is filed under the name uncultured bacterium. RNAcentral's name for it is "partial 16S ribosomal RNA". It matches the Rfam family "Bacterial small subunit ribosomal RNA", at positions 1236 to 1500 of the family's 1533-position model. The record is from RNAcentral.
CCAACAAAGAGAGGCGAGACCGCGAGGUGGAGCAAAUCUCAAAAAGCCGUCCCAGUUCGGAUCGCAGGCUGCAACCCGCCUGCGUGAAGUUGGAAUCGCUAGUAAUCGCGGAUCAGCAUGCCGCGGUGAAUACGUUCCCGGGCCUUGUACACACCGCCCGUCACACCAUGAGAGUCGGGAACACCCGAAGUCCGUAGCCUAACCGCAAGGGGGGCGCGGCCGAAGGUGGGUUCGAUAAUUGGGGUGAAGUCGUAACAAGGUAAC